UGGGGAAUUUUGGACAAUGGGCGAAAGCCUGAUCCAGCAAUGCCGCGUGUGUGAAGAAGGCCUUCGGGUUGUAAAGCACUUUUGUCCGGAAAGAAAUCCUUGGCUCUAAUACAGUCGGGGGAUGACGGUACCGGAAGAAUAAGCACCGGCUAACUACGUGCCAGCAGCCGCGGUAAUACGUAGGGUGCAAGCGUUAAUCGGAAUUACUGGGCGUAAAGCGUGCGCAGGCGGUUUGCUAAGACCGAUGUGAAAUCCCCGGGCUCAACCUGGGAACUGCAUUGGUGACUGGCAGGCUAGAGUAUGGCAGAGGGGGGUAGAAUUCCACGUGUAGCAGUGAAAUGCGUAGAGAUGUGGAGGAAUACCGAUGGCGAAGGCAGCCCCCUGGGCCAAUACUGACGCUCAUGCACGAAAGCGUGGGGGAGCAAACAGGAUUAGAUACCCUGGUAGUCCACGCCCUAAACGAUGUCAACUAGUUGUUGGGGAUUCAUUUCCUAGUAACGUAGCUAACGCGUGAAGUUGACCGCCUGGGGAGUACGGUCGCAAGAUUAAAACUCAAAUGAAUUGACGGGGUCAUAGCUGUUUCCU
Molecule: ribosomal RNA, 585 nt
Filed under: uncultured bacterium
Lineage: Bacteria
Description: partial 16S ribosomal RNA
Rfam family: Bacterial small subunit ribosomal RNA
Source: RNAcentral